RNAcentral lists this ribosomal RNA (253 nucleotides) under uncultured bacterium. RNAcentral's name for it is "partial 16S ribosomal RNA". It matches the Rfam family "Bacterial small subunit ribosomal RNA", at positions 524 to 776 of the family's 1533-position model. The record is from RNAcentral.
GACGUAGGAUGCAAGCGUUGUCCGGAUUUAUUGGGCGUAAAGAGUUCGUAGGCGGUUUGUUAAGUCUGAUGUUAAAGACUGGGGCUCAACCCUGGAAGUGCAUUGGAUACUGGCAGACUGGAGUGCAGUAGAGGCGAGUGGAAUUCCCAGUGUAGCGGUGAAAUGCGUAGAUAUUGGGAGGAACACCGAUGGCGAAGGCAGCUCGCUGGGACGGUACUGACGCUGAGGCGCGAAAGCGUGGGGAGCAAACAGG